ACGGCUCAGUAACACGUAGUCAACCUAACCUAUGGACGGGAAUAACCUCGGGAAACUGAGAAUAAUGCCCGAUAGAACACUAUACCUGGAAUGGUUUGUGUUCCAAAUGAUUUAUCGCCAUAGGAUGGGACUGCGGCCUAUCAGUUUGUUGGUGAGGUAAUGGCCCACCAAGACUAUUACAGGUACGGGCUCUGAGAGGAGCAGCCCGGAGAUGGGUACUGAGACACGGACCCAGGCCCUAUGGGGCGCAGCAGGCGAGAAAACUUUGCAAUGUGCGAAAGCACGACAAGGUUAAUCCGAGUGAUUUGUGCUAAACGAAUCUUUUGUUAGUCCUAGAAACACUAACGAAUAAGGGGUGGGCAAGUUCUGGUGUCAGCCGCCGCGGUAAAACCAGCACCUCAAGUGGUCAGGAUGAUUAUUGGGCCUAAAGCAUCCGUAGCCGGCUCUGUAAGUUUUCGGUUAAAUCUGUACGCUUAACGUACAGGCUGCCGGGAAUACUGCAAAGCUAGGGAGUGGGAGAGGUAGACGGUACUCGGUAGGAAGUGGUAAAAUGCUUUGAUCUAUCGAUGACCACCUGUGGCGAAGGCGGUCUACCAGAACACGUCCGACGGUGAGGGAUGAAAGCUGGGGGAGCAAACCGGAUUAGAUACCCGGGUAGUCCCAGCUGUAAACUAUGCAAACUCAGUGAUGCAUUGGCCUGUGGCCAAUGCAGUGCUGCAGGGAAGCCGUUAAGUUUGCCGCCUGGGAAGUACGUACGCAAGUAUGAAACUUAAAGGAAUUGGCGGGGGAGCAC
This 793-nucleotide ribosomal RNA is filed under the name uncultured archaeon. RNAcentral's name for it is "bacterial SSU rRNA". It matches the Rfam family "Archaeal small subunit ribosomal RNA", at positions 85 to 879 of the family's 1478-position model. The record is from RNAcentral.